Molecule: long non-coding RNA, 513 nt
Filed under: Bos taurus (domestic cattle)
Lineage: Eukaryota; Metazoa; Chordata; Mammalia; Artiodactyla; Bovidae
Description: long non-coding RNA NONBTAT025708
Source: RNAcentral
GUUACUGAACUGGUAUUCUAACCUCUUCCCACCCCCACCCCUGCCUUAGCUUUGAAUCUUUCUUUCUUGAACUUUUCUUUCAGCCUUUUCCCCCCUCAUAUAAAUAGUAAUAACUGUUCCCAGUGUACUAUAUUUAAUUUCUUGUGGUCAGUGGGAGAUCAUACAAUUAAUUGCCAUACCAAGGGUAAAACUAGUCCAGUGCUUUUAAAUAUGCGGACCAUUGCAAAUUAGCAAGCACACAGUUAUACACUGAGGAAUAACUGUGUAUCAGGUUUCUGUUUGGUGUUCAUACAAGUGUAUAUUUACUUUUAAAAUCAGUUUAGUAGUACCCUAGAAAUUGUUUUCUAUUUUAUAAAUGAAGGUAAUGCUGACUAGAUAGGGAGGGAUUGAUACAAAUCCUUUAUUAAUUUUCUUUUGUAAUUAUAUAAAGCUCAGUGUAUGCAGUUGUAUAUUGUAAUUUCAAUUUCUAGGAUGCAAAAGAUUUGUCACAUUUUGAAUGUAUGUAUACAUUUU